GAUGAACGCUGGCGGCGCGCCUAACACAUGCAAGUCGAACGAUUAAAGCACCUUCGGGUGUGUAUAAAGUGGCGAACGGCUGAGUAACACGUGGGCAACCUGCCCCUUUCAUUGGGAUAGCCACGGGAAACCGUGGAUAAUACCGAAUACUUCGAGACUUCCGCAUGGAAGACUCGAGAAAGCUCCGGCGGAGGGGGAUGGGCCCGCGGCCUGUUAGCUUGUUGGUGGGGUAACGGCCUACCAAGGCAAUGAUGGGUAGCUGGGUUGAGAGACCGACCAGCCAGAUUGGGACUGAGACACGGCCCAGACUCCUACGGGAGGCAGAAGUGGGGAAUCUUGCACAAUGGGCGAAAGCCUGAUGCAGCGACGCCGCGUGCGGGAUGAAGGCCUUCGGGUUGUAAACCGCUUUCAGCAGGGACGAGGCGAAAGUGACGGUACCUGCAGAAGAAGCCCCGGCUAACUACGUG
Molecule: ribosomal RNA, 467 nt
Filed under: uncultured bacterium
Lineage: Bacteria
Description: partial 16S ribosomal RNA
Rfam family: Bacterial small subunit ribosomal RNA
Source: RNAcentral